Molecule: long non-coding RNA, 6268 nt
Filed under: Sus scrofa (pig)
Lineage: Eukaryota; Metazoa; Chordata; Mammalia; Artiodactyla; Suidae
Description: lncRNA (ENSSSCG00055001544.1)
Source: RNAcentral
GAUCCUCAAGCCCUUGCUGAACCACAGUCCCCACUUAGUAAACAGGAGCUAUUUUCCCAUUUUAACACAGACAUCUAAUUGCUUUAUGACUAUUUGUCUAUGUCUAUCUCCCCUUCUAGACUGUGAGUUACAUAAUGGAAAAACUAUUGUUUUUAUUUACUCUUGAAUCCCUUAAUAAUUUAAACUUUGCCUGCUACAUAAUAGAGCCUCAAUUUCUGAAUGAAUUUAGAACACAAAAAUAAAGGCAAAUUUUUAAAAAGGAGAUAUGGUGAGAAUAAAUAACUAGAAAAUUGACAUUCUAUAAUGUUUCAAGGAGACAGUUUGAAAACAUGUCUAAAUUUACCAUCCAAUCCUCACCCCUAAUGAAUGUGUAAUAGCACAGAGAAGAUGAAAGUAAAGAGAGGAUACACACAUGGCUUGUAAGAUUGUGGCAUAAAACCUGGAACAAAAUAUUAUAUGUACCUCAAAUUUCAUCCUUGAAGAUCACCUCUAAAUACCACAUUAAGUCACUGAAAGUUAAAACCGAGAUGACAACAAAGGUAAUUUUCCAUUCCCUCAGUUAAGAGUUCCAUUCUAGUCAGUGACAGAGGAAAUUUUAGACACCCCUUAAAUAACCCCAGAUCUAUGCAGAGAUUCAUGGCUUCCUAGAUGAUCAUCGGUGGUAAAGGCUUCCUGUUUACCCUUGGGCAUCCUCUGGAAAACUCUCCCUGUUACCCUCCUAUAUCUGGACCAGAUACCCCAAUUAGAGCCCUAUUAGCAUGUUGCAGCCUCUCUCAUUUUCCUCUUACUCUGGAUUGUAAUUACCUGGAUACUUGCCAUUUUAUCUACCAGGCUUUAGGUUACAUUAUGGCAAUAAGCUGGUUUGCCUUGCUUACUGCUUCAUUGUUUAUGCGUAGCUCGGUAUCUGGAAUUGAGGGGGAAUGGGUGAUGAGAGGAAAGAAGACAAGCAGGCAACCAAAAAAAGAAUGAAGGAAGGCAAGUCUCCUAUCUAGAAAUACUAAACAUUCUCUAAUGAGCCCUGAAACAUUAAGGUUUAAGUGUUUCUCCUAGAAUCUUGACUCAUAAGAGAGCCUUGAGCUUUUUAGGAAAAACAAAAUGCCUACUUAGCAAGGGAAACCAGCUGGCCCACAACUCCUUUGGAACCAUCCUUGACACUAUGAUUAGCCUUGAUUUUGCUUUACCAUUUGUCUGACUUAUAUUAGGUGACAAUGGAUUAACUGACCUCAGCUGUAAUUUACUGCUGUGUUCCAUGGGAUACUUAAUCCCUCCAAUCAUCUAUGGAGAGGUCCCCAACACAAACAACAAUGUGGUCUACGUUGUGUAAAUUGUGUUACCUUUGCCUUUUCCUUUGUCAUCUCUGCAUUAUAUGUGAUUUUGUAUUUUCUCUCAUUAGAGAUGAGUUAAACUCACUUGUAAUCUGUGGGCUUUGUUAUUCAUAGAAGGCCGACUAUCUUCUUUCACUCAAUAUAUAUUACCUUAUUUUAAACCUAGCAUGCAUGUGUCUAACUUCUCAAAUUAACAGAAGGUAUGGACCAUGCCCUAUAUUAUAGAUUUAUCACUUCUUUUAGUGGUUAACUUAUUAUGUUGAGCAAAAGAGGUGCUUGAUAUUUUAAAAAAUGAUGAAACAUAAAAAGUAAAGGUAAUUAUUUUCUUAUUAAAAAAGAAAUAUUUCUUUCUAAUAUUUCUAAUACUUCUAAAUCAUAAAGAUUGUGGGAUUUCUAUUAAGAAUUAAAAAUAUUUGAGAAAUAGUUUUCAAAAAUCAUUGGCUGUAUCUGUAUGUGUAUCAUCCGUGUUUGCACUGGAUCAAAAAACCCAAGGUGCUUGUUCAGUUUUUGGUUUUGUUUGUUUGUUUUAUGUUGGACACCAUAAAAGAUGUCAUUGAAAAGCAUUCACUCUCCUUUUCUGUCACCAGCCACUUGGACCUACUAGGCUCCACCCUCACUGAUGUCACAGAUGGCAUCUCAGCAGCAAAAAGGUCAGACAAAAAAGCUCCAAGUUCUCAAGAUUUAAAAGCAAGUUAUCAGGAUUUGGACUAGAGCCCCAAACCAUACAGGCUAUAAGGUCAGAGCUUAACUGUUUUUCCAUUUUAUUGCUCAAGGACAAGAGAGUUUGAUGCAUGAGACUCCAGCCCCAUAAACCGUCUACUGAGGUGGCCAUUUUAUCACGUAUGGUUGUGAGUUGAGUACUGACCACACAAUUUAAAUCGACAGCAGCAGGGUCCUGGUGGAGAUGUGAGAAGCAAUGUCACACACAACAUUCUCUUCCUAAUUAUUGGGACCCAGACAGGUGGCAGGAAGGGAAUGAGGGGUGAGGUGGGGGGAGAGGGAGGGGCGGGGAAGCACAGUGACAUUUCCCAUCUCAGGAGUACAAGAUUCAUUACCACUGAUGAAAAGUCACCAGGCUGCGGUGAGUCCUGACAUACUCCGUGACAGGAGAAAGUGACAUGGCCGUUUGACAUUCAGGGCUAGAAGGUUGCCGGUCUGUAAUCACUAGUUAAAAUUGAAUCUUGUACAUUGCACCCUGCCAGCACAGCUCAACUCUUGAUAAUUAUUUGGAUGCUACUGUAUUUGGAUUUUAUUUCCCCAGCAGAGAGGGGAAGUUGGAUUUAUAGUUUACUGCUGGGUUAAGAUUGGAACAGGCUAGAUCUUUUUUAUGGUUAAUAUGGGAGAGCCAAAUAAAUCUAGAGGUGUUUUUUUGGUCCCCAUUUUAAUUCUAAACCACUUGGGGAGGGGGGUGGGGAGCCACAAUGGAAUCAAAGAGUGUGUCUUCUAAUUUUUCAUGAACAAGCUACAAUUCUGUCUAUGGUAAUGUUUUUCUCUUUUUUCCUUUCAACUUACGAUGCUUUAAACCAGCCAUCUGGACAUGAAUGGGACUGGGAAAUAUCAUUUGCAAUUGCUAUAGCCUGAGCACCCACAUGGAUGAGGACAUAGGUGGUCAAUGCCGCUCAACCAUGUCUUCUUUACCUGGAGUUCAGGAGAAGGACAAGAGAAAUGUUUUACAGUGGGUCAUUUUAGCAUAAUUACAGACUGGCCUUGAAAUGCAGGUUUAAUAAAAGCAUGCUGGAUUCCAACAAGAAUACUCUCUCCCCUCACUCCUAUUUUGAAGCAUGGAAGCUUCCAUUCUUUGCAGGAGCCACAGCCUGUAUAUUCACUCUAUUAAGCCUGGAGAAUUCUCAGAUAUCUAGCUUGACAGGCUCGAUCACAUAUUUUAAGGAAUCACAGGCCACAUGUUGAAAGAAGGGUAAAGUGAUCACCAGAGGUAACUUUAUGUACAGACAGAGUAAGUGUUGCCUGCACUCUAGGAUUUAACUGUUCUUUGGGAAGUAGGCAGAGUGGCUUGAUCUAAGGUAGUUUUGCCAUUACCCUCCCUAAGUGUCUAAAAGACCCUAAUUAGAAAAGCAUCAAUUUAAAUAAAAUCUUGUGUUCACAAGUUCCAAAAUAAGUCAUCAUUAUUUCAUGGAGAAAAGACAAAUAAUUCUCAAACACAGGCAAAGAUAAAUAAAGCAUGGUAGAAAUUUUUCUGGGAAAGGCUGAUAGGCUCUGGUCCAAGAAGGCUCAAAAAUUGGAAUUCAAGAGUUUCUGUCAUGGCACAGCAGAAAUGAAUCCGACUAGGAACCAUGAGGUUUCCGGUUCUAUCCGUGGCCUCCCUCAGUGGCUUAAAGGAUCCAGCGUUGCCGUGAGCUGUGGUAUAGGUCACAGACGCAGCUUGGAUCGGGCAUUUCUGCGGCUCUGGUGUAGGCCCGUGGCUACAGCUCUGAUUGGACCCCUAUUCCGGGAACCUCCAUAUGCCACGGGUGCGGCCCUAAAAGAUCAAAAGAAAAAAAAAAAAAAAGAAUUGGGAUUCAUUGCUCUGUGGGAUUCACUCUGAACCCAGGGUUGACUCUCAGCCUUGCUCCUGCUGGAAGCCGAUUUCUGGUGGUUUAUUGUGAUCUUCCCAGGAACUUCUAUUUUCUGCAGGUGUGGCCUUAAAAAAAAAAAAAAAAAAAAGCGCAACAGGAUUUAGAAAAUGGAAAAGUCACAUGACUAGCACAGACAUUAUAGAAAAAUUAGCCACAUCCUAAACAGAAGGUAUCAGGGUAAUCACAGAGUCACCAAGGAAGUAAAAAUUAACUCAACUCUUCUCCCUUUUACUAGGAGAGUAUGCAUAGCCGAGGCUGUCUUCACCAAAUCUCAGACUGCCCUAAGGCACUGAGAUGGCAUCCUUAGUAUAUAGUUCUCUUCUGAACAGUUCUGAGAUGGGCAUUGUCAACCACUGCUUUCUCUCUCUCCUUUGUUCAAUGUUCAAUAGUGUCCCCUCUACUUACCCUCCACUUCAUACCAGAGAAAUGAUGUUGCUAUCAGAGCUCACUUUCAGAAAGCAAUGAUAUUUUCUGGCUUUGCUAGUCAGUCACAGAAUAAAUAAUGUAGAGGGUAUAAAUUCAUUACCUGCUUUUGUUUCACCAGAAAAUGUGCUGAUUGAAUGAGGCACCUUAAGGAGAAGGUUCCUUGCUCAAAGCGGGGAUUUCUAAACAGGGAAAAGUCAAGGGAAGUAACUGAGUCUUGAGAAACUUUCCAAUAGAGUGAUAACAAUACCCAGUAAAAGGACAUGCACAACUAGAGAACAUAGAACAAAGAAGAGAGAAAAAGAAGGAAAAAAUUUUAAAAAAGAAAACCCAAAUAUAUCAAGAAAGAUUAAAUUAUCCCUAUAAUCUCCCAGUGGAAAUAGAUUAAGGAGUGACUUGGACACUGAGGUUACUGAAAGGAUGAUCUCAACAGUGGUGAAAAUGAGGUACUUGGGUUGGUUAUAUGGGGUGUGGUUAAAGGAAUAAACCAACUUUUCAGUCAUAGGACACCUCAACUUCUGCUACUUGUAAAUUGGGUAAAAGGCAAUUUCUUUUUUUAUGUGCCUUGAUUACCUUUACUUGGGAAAAAUAACCUCAAUUAUUCAUUGUCUAGGCCCCAUAGCAAAAACACAAACUUGCAGCUAAUAUGAGAUUUCGCCAAAAUUUGCUCAUGGCGAACUGAAGAGCAGUCCCCAUGUUCCCAUGGUUGAGAAAAGACCUCUUCCUCUUCUUCUGCAUGCAUAUCAUGUAUAGUUCCUAUCAAGACCUGCUCUUCCCCUCUACCUUGAAGUCUCCCCCAUCUAGCCCACACUAUUGAUCUUUUCUCUAAAUUUCUGUAGAAUUCAACCUUCUUAUAUAAAUGUAUCACACAUGUUUCUCCAUUUCCUAUUUAUACAUCUUGCUUGAAUGAGCAACUAUAGCCUGGAGGUAAGAAGUUUCUGAGACCUAAUGUUCAUCUUUGACCUCUUGGAAACUCAAUUUUCUUAUCUAUUGUGAUAAGGAAAUAAAACUGUGGACCUCAAAGGUCACAUCCAGUUCUAAUAUUCUAUAAAACUAUGUCGUGUUUUCUUUGUCCUUAUCCUGGAAGGGAAAUGGAAUUUUCUUUGUUAAGUUUGCACAACUCUGUGUUUGUUCAAUCCAAGGUAAGAAGAAUGCUCUAAGAACAAUGCUUGGUACCAGAUUCCGUUCACACCAUAUGUGUACCCUAAUGAUGGCCCUCCUCAUGCAGCAACACCUGCCAGAGCUCAAACCAGCACAAACUUCAUGGGGUGACUCUUCUCCUUCUGCAUGUAGAACUUAGAUACUCAAUGCUUUAUAGAAUCAAAGUGUGCAUGUGUGUGUUCAACAUUUUCAUUUUAGAACAUUGAAUCACCAGACUCUAGCCUCAUCUUGUUUAUGUAUGUUUCUGAGGAGAUCAAGCUGUCUGGAGCCUUCUACUCAUACUGCUCCCAGUUUGUGUGCUUUCCCUACAGCUCUUGAUGAAAUUAGCAUCCUGGAAUAUUCAACAGAAGUCAUUUUUAUCAUGCAAUCAAGAUUACUGCCACUAAUGUUAGACAUGUGUUAUGGCAGCACACUGAAAGAAAGCCCACAAGCUGUAGCAUUGCUCACAGGUGAAAAGAGCAUAAGCCUCCAAACACCUAGAAGAGGGUGGCUUGUCUUUAGACAGUAUUAUUAUUUUAACAUGCAUGCUAGUGUUCUUUUAAAGAUUAUUGAUCGCAUUCAUUGGCAUGACACAAUUGGGGAUAAAAUUAUCAAUAUCUCAUUGAACAGGGAUGAUAGGGAGAGAAUUUGUGGCAGCCUCAGGUGAAGCCUAGAGAUUGGACCACUGGAUUUGGAUAGAUUUUCUUUAUUUCCUUUGAAUGCAUGUCCCCCAAGAAGGAAGAUUUCUAUUGCUGAAUGAGGUUGGAGCUUAUUACUCCUUUUAGGAAUACAAAGAAUAGGAGUCUU